AUUGAACGCUGGCGGCAUGCUUUACACAUGCGAGUCGAACGGCAGCGCGGGCUUCGGCCUGGCGGCGAGUGGCGAACGGGUGAGUAAUGCAUCGGAACGUGCCCAGUAGUGGGGGAUAGCCCGGCGAAAGCCGGAUUAAUACCGCAUACGACCUGAGGGUGAAAGCGGGGGACCGAAAGGCCUCGCGCUAUUGGAGCGGCCGAUGUCGGAUUAGCUAGUUGGUGGGGUAAAGGCUUACCAAGGCGACGAUCCGUAGCUGGUCUGAGAGGACGACCAGCCACACUGGGACUGAGACACGGCCCAGACUCCUACGGGAGGCAGCAGUGGGGAAUUUUGGUCAAUGGGGGCAACCCUGAUCCAGCCAUGCCGCGUGCGGGAAGAAGGCCUUCGGGUUGUAAACCGCUUUUGUUCGGGAAGAAAUCCUCUGGGCUAAUACCCCGGGGGGAUGACGGUACCGGAAGAAUAAGCACCGGCUAACUACGUG
RNAcentral lists this ribosomal RNA (484 nucleotides) under uncultured bacterium. Its description in RNAcentral is "partial 16S ribosomal RNA". It matches the Rfam family "Bacterial small subunit ribosomal RNA", at positions 28 to 507 of the family's 1533-position model. The record is from RNAcentral.